UACGUAGGCAGCGAGCGUUGUUCGGAGUUACUGGGCGUAAAGCGUGCGUAGGCGGUUUUGUAAGUUUGGUGUGAAAUCUCCCGGCUCAACUGGGAGGGUGCGCCGAAAACUGCAAGGCUGGAGUGUGGGAGAGGUAGGCGGAAUUCCUGGUGUAGCGGUGAAAUGCGUAGAUAUCUGGAGGAACACCGGUGGCGAAGGCGGCAUCCUGGACCAACACUGACACUGAGGAGCGAAAGCCAGGGGAGCAAACGGG
Molecule: ribosomal RNA, 253 nt
Filed under: uncultured bacterium
Lineage: Bacteria
Description: partial 16S ribosomal RNA
Rfam family: Bacterial small subunit ribosomal RNA
Source: RNAcentral